CCCUUAGAUGUUCUGGGCCGCACGCGCGCUACACUGAAGGGAUCAGCGUGUUUUCCCUUCCCGAGAGGGACGGGUAACCCGCUGAACCCCCUUCGUGGUAGGGAUCGGAGCUUGCAAUUGUUCUCCGUGAACCAGGAAUUCCCAGUAAGCGCAAGUCAUAAGCUUGCGUUGAUUACGUCCCUGCCCUUUGUACACACCGCCCGUCGCUACUACCGAUUGAACGUUUUAGUGAGGUAUUUGGACUGGGCCUUGGGAGGUUUCGGCCUCCCUUGUUGCUCGGAAAGGCUCCCAAACUUGAGCGUUUAGAGGAAGUAAAAGUCGUAACA
Molecule: ribosomal RNA, 326 nt
Filed under: uncultured eukaryote
Lineage: Eukaryota
Description: partial 18S ribosomal RNA
Rfam family: Eukaryotic small subunit ribosomal RNA
Source: RNAcentral